GGCCUAGUAGCCAAGUGGUAAGGCGCGGCUCUGCAAAAGCUUCAUCGGCGGUUCGAUUCCGCCCUAGGCCU
Molecule: transfer RNA, 71 nt
Filed under: Parcubacteria bacterium C7867-005
Lineage: Bacteria; Candidatus Parcubacteria
Description: tRNA-Cys
Rfam family: tRNA
About the family: Transfer RNA (tRNA) molecules are approximately 80 nucleotides in length. Their secondary structure includes four short double-helical elements and three loops (D, anti-codon, and T loops). Further hydrogen bonds mediate the characteristic L-shaped molecular structure. tRNAs have two regions of fundamental functional importance: the anti-codon, which is responsible for specific mRNA codon recognition, and the 3' end, to which the tRNAs corresponding amino acid is attached (by aminoacyl-tRNA synthetases). tRNAs cope with the degeneracy of the genetic code in two manners: having more than one tRNA (with a specific anti-codon) for a particular amino acid; and 'wobble' base-pairing, i.e. permitting non-standard base-pairing at the 3rd anti-codon position.
Source: RNAcentral